GCUUCAUAAAUAAAUGUGUCAGAAAUUUAUGUUCAAUCAUACAAUAUUAUAAAUUCUACAAUUGGAAUUUUCCAUUGAUGAAGGGAUGAUAUUCCAUCAUUAGAACACCAAUCUGGACUCUUGAAUCACAAGCAAUGAGAAAAUUCUAACAAUAGUUCAACACAAUUUCAAAUUUCUUAUAUUUCUGUUACUUACCCUUUUCCACACAGGCAUCCAAGAGAUCACCAAAAACAAAUACCUACCUUUCACCAUACCUACCUUUCACCACCACGUCUGCAAUUAUUUUCGCUCUAGUUCUCUUGCAAAUUCUGUGUAUCUAUCAAGCUUACCCAACACCGCAUUCUUGAAAUUUACAGCUUCUUGAAAUUGUGAGCAAGACCUCUGGAUUCUAACCCCACUUGUACUAUUUCUUGACUCCAUCAACUCAUUGAGUGACAGCCUCUUUUUUGGCCCAGGUUCAGGCCUCUGCUUUGGAGCACUAUGUGAUCUCACUUUAGCCUUGAAAGAUUGAGUAUUAGCCAUAUAAUUAGGUGAAUUCCCAUAUUGUCUAAGGAGAUUAUCCGCACACAUAGUCUUAGCAGGUGUAAUAGAAGCAUUAGAUCCUCCUGAAUUGAGAAACCGAGGAGUGCUUUGUGCAGUAGAGAACCUACAUUCAUCACCCGUUAAGCCCCAGUAUGAAUCUUGAUAGUUUCGGGCAUGAAGCAUCGAUAAAAGUGGUGGAAUUCCUGAUGGAAGUGGAGAGGAGAGGAUUUGGUAAAAUGGGUCAUCGCCGAAAUCAGAAACUGAGGUGUUAGUUCUGCGAGAUCUUGAUUUUGGCCUGCAACCCCCUGUAUCAACCUCCACUAUCUUUGGACUUUCAUUAAUGGGGCUUAUUAACGUGGUGUCUAGUGAUGUUGAAAGCCUUCUACUGUGGAUUGAAGCUGUGUGUUCACUCCUUGUUUCGUCAAAUGUCUCCAAGGAUUUUCGAGCUCGAAUCUCGAAUCGGUUAUCAGUUCUUGUGAGAUUUCUGGCUCUGUGGGAACGGAUGGUGGCCUGUGCUCUAAUAAGAGCCUCCAUACUUUGAAGUGUUGCAGUUGCUUGUUUUCUUACCAGGUAUCCUCUAACACGGGCUUGUAACUUCACCAAUCCUUUUAAUGCUCGCAGUGCCUUUCUGG
Molecule: unclassified non-coding RNA, 1154 nt
Filed under: Hevea brasiliensis (rubber tree)
Lineage: Eukaryota; Viridiplantae; Streptophyta; Magnoliopsida; Malpighiales; Euphorbiaceae
Source: RNAcentral